This 253-nucleotide ribosomal RNA is filed under the name uncultured bacterium. RNAcentral describes it as "partial 16S ribosomal RNA". It matches the Rfam family "Bacterial small subunit ribosomal RNA", at positions 524 to 776 of the family's 1533-position model. The record is from RNAcentral.
UACGUAGGGGGCAAGCGUUGUCCGGAAUUAUUGGGCGUAAAGAGCGCGUAGGCGGUCCGAUAAGUCGGCUGUGAAAGUCAAGGGCUCAACCCUUGAAAGCCGGCCGAUACUGUCGGACUAGAGUCCGGAAGAGGCAAGUGGAAUUCCUGGUGUAGCGGUGAAAUGCGCAGAUAUCAGGAGGAACACCGAUGGCGAAGGCAGGUCUCUGGGCCACUACUGACGCUGAGAAGCGAAAGCAUGGGGAGCGAACAGG